Unclassified non-coding RNA from Macaca fascicularis (crab-eating macaque), 148 nucleotides. It matches the Rfam family "Metazoan signal recognition particle RNA". Rfam says of the family: The signal recognition particle (SRP) is a universally conserved ribonucleoprotein. It is involved in the co-translational targeting of proteins to membranes. The eukaryotic SRP consists of a 300-nucleotide 7S RNA and six proteins: SRPs 72, 68, 54, 19, 14, and 9. The record is from Ensembl. Lineage: Eukaryota; Metazoa; Chordata; Mammalia; Primates; Cercopithecidae.
GCUGGGCAUGGUGGCGCGUGCCUGUAGUCCCAGCUACUCAGGAGGUUGAGGCAGGAGAACUGCUUGAACCCAGGGGGUGGAGUUUGCAGCGAACUGAGAUCGGGCCACUGCACUCCAGCCUGGGUGACAAAGCGAGACUCUGCCUCUA